AACAAACUCAGGACAAGGUACUCUGGGCGACUGCUUGAAGUAGACACGGCUGAUGGGGUCCACUCUGAGAUUCUGCUCCUGAAUUCUACCCGGGGAAAUGGAGACAAGGACAGGCAGUCACUGCUCUUGAUAGUAACUUCAAAAAAUUGAGGAUUGAGUGUGAUUCUGAAACCUGGAAGUAAGAGACGGAGAAGUUCCUUGCCUGGAUAAAUGAUUUUACAGCGAGCAGAAAGGUAGACGACAACUAUAAAACAUGACGAGGUAACACCAUCCAGUGGUCAUUGCCUGUAGCUGAUACCGACGGCAUGUUUAUAGAACACUGCACUUAUAGAGUGAUGAUCAACUUUGCUUUAUUUUCUCCUUUGGAAAAAGCACCGCUGAAAACCAGGAGCAAGCUAUCUUCUCAUGAAGAUAUCCAGUACCAGAUAGUAUUCCCUUCACUCGGUCACCAGAUAAUCAUAUUUGAAC
Molecule: long non-coding RNA, 468 nt
Organism: Tachyglossus aculeatus (Australian echidna)
Lineage: Eukaryota; Metazoa; Chordata; Mammalia; Monotremata; Tachyglossidae
Exons: 3
Source: RefSeq, a predicted model, not a curated record